AGUGAACGCUGGCGGUAGGCCUAACACAUGCAAGUCGAACGGCAGCACAGUAAGAGCUUGCUCUUACGGGUGGCGAGUGGCGGACGGGUGAGGAAUACAUCGGAAUCUACUUUUUCGUGGGGGAUAACGUAGGGAAACUUACGCUAAUACCGCAUACGACCUACGGGUGAAAGCAGGGGAUCUCCGGACCUUGCGCGAUUGAAUGAGCCGAUGUCGGAUUAGCUAGUUGGCGGGGUAAAGGCCCACCAAGGCGACGAUCCGUAGCUGGUCUGAGAGGAUGAUCAGCCACACUGGAACUGAGACACGGUCCAGACUCCUACGGGAGGCAGCAGUGGGGAAUAUUGGACAAUGGGCGCAAGCCUGAACCAGCCAUACCGCGUGGGUGAAGAAGGCCUUCGGGUUGUAAAGCCCUUUUGUUGGGAAAGAAAAGCAGCAGGUUAAUACCCCGCUGUUCUGACGGUACCCAAAGAAUAAGCACCGGCUAACUUCGUG
Molecule: ribosomal RNA, 492 nt
Filed under: uncultured bacterium
Lineage: Bacteria
Description: partial 16S ribosomal RNA
Rfam family: Bacterial small subunit ribosomal RNA
Source: RNAcentral